RNAcentral lists this ribosomal RNA (301 nucleotides) under uncultured bacterium. RNAcentral's name for it is "partial 16S ribosomal RNA". It matches the Rfam family "Bacterial small subunit ribosomal RNA", at positions 509 to 807 of the family's 1533-position model. The record is from RNAcentral.
CAGCCGCCGCGGGAAUACGUAGGUGGCAAGCGUUGUCCGGAAUUAUUGGGCGUAAAGGGCUCGCAGGCGGUUUCUUAAGUCUGAUGUGAAGGCCCCCGGCUCAACCGGGGAGGGUCAUUGGAAACUGGGAAACUUGAGUGCAGAAGAGGAGAGUGGAAUUCCACGUGUAGCGGUGAAAUGCGUAGAGAUGUGGAGGAACACCAGUGGCGAAGGCGACUCUCUGGUCUGUAACUGACGCUGAGGAGCGAAAGCGUGGGGAGCGAACAGGAUUAGAUACCCCAGUAGUCCCUGUCUCUUAUAC